UUCACAAUGUGAAUAUGACGUGAUGAACGUAUGUCGAUAUUCAUGUAUCAAGUCGGAAAUAUAUGAGAAUAAUAAUCUUAUUAUUUAUAUAAAUUAUCUGUAUUACUUUCUUUUCCUCAGUAGUUACCAUAUACCCAAUUUUGUAGUCUUCAGUCCAUAUUCUGAAUUCGCUUUUAUCAAUCAAAAGUGUUUCUAAGACCGCUAUUCAUAGUCGAAUUUUAUAUUUAAGACUGUCUUAAGUUUGUCUUCAGAUACUUCGUAGUCAAUGAAAUGAGCGACGUAGAGCGUCUGAAGAUAAACUUAAAAACGGUCAUAAAUGUAAAAUCUGACUGUGAAAACCGGUCUAAGGCCUGAUCCAAGCAGUAAGCGUAAACCGAGCUUAGGUCCAUUUCAUCGAUAAGAGUGAAUACAGAAUACGGAUUUUUGCAUCUCUCUCUCUCUCUCUCUCUCUCUUUCUCUCUCUCAAGGAUAUUAAUGGUACCUAUAUUUAUGAUAAAUCCGGCAAUGUUUAUAACGUACUUUUGGCUCGGCCGCAUGCGCACGAGGGUCCACCAAACUACUAGUUUCCUCGCAGCUCAUAAGUUCCUUCCCAUUGAAUGCGUAACCCCUCCACAUUGUUCUUACAAUGCUGCCGAAGCUACACUCGGCAACGUGAUGUGGAGCAAGAGAGAGGGAACGAUGAAGACCUAACUUUCACUGAGUUCAGUUUCAGAAUUCAGUUGCGCGGCAAACACGCUGUCGGAACGUAUUGGAGUAUAACAUUGGCAUCUCGCACACACGAGGACUAUUCAAAAUUCACUAGUGAAUCACGACUUAUUCAAAUUAUUACAGACAGUUAGUUGUCUAUCUCCCUUGUCUUUUUAAUUUUUUUUUUUUUUUUCAAACAGGCCACGUGUGUCGUAUUUUUCCGUAUGAAUGUGUACCCUCACCGCGCACGCACGUGACUUUUACAUACAAAUUGUUUUCAAUUAAUUUUUAAGUAAAAAUGCAAUUUUGAAGUUUACUGGAAAAGAAUACAAACUCGUUCAGUGAUUUCAAGCGAAUUAAACCUGAACUAUGAGAAAAAAAAAGAGGCGACAGAAGUAUAAUCGAUCAACGUCCCGUUAUUUUCCAACGAUGGCGACACAAAGUCGCGAGAAAUACUACGUUGAUAUAAUUGGAAGUCAUGAUGGGGAUUCGGUGACAUUUUUAUACGGCGAAGAUUCAUACAUAUUAAAUCCAUCCCGAAACUUAGUGGACGAACUGUAUAAGACUGAUGACACAAGACUGACAGCACAAGCAGGCCACUUGUAUAGCAGAAUAUCCAGUAGAAGGCUUGUUUACUACAGGAGGUAGUACAAGUGAUGCAGUGAAAUAUGGAGAGGAUUAUUCAACGUUUCUCCAACUAUUUCUCUAACUGGCAGUUAUGCCAAUUAAAGAGUUGUCCAGAUUUGUGGUAAACUCUUUAAUCGGGCGCAAUUGCCAAUUGGAGAAUAAAGCAUUUAGUAAAAGCAGUUGAGACAGGACUGUUGGAAUAGCUGCCGAGUGACAAAAAUAUCGCAAUUUAGCCGCUACAGAUACCGCUACAGAUUCUCUACGGGUACCUCGUUAUUGGCUAUCGGUUAAUGGCUGUUUCCGUUCAACUUUGACCAUACGGAUGUCGGAAUAUCUGGAAGCGUGCACAGAAGGUCAGAGGCGAAUUCCGAAUUGACUGUGGAUUGCCUCGUGCGAUAAGAGUGCGAAACAUCUUGCCAAUAUGUGCAGUUGCUAACAUCGGAACCAUCUGAUAAACAUGCUCCAGAGAUUCUCCUUCAAUUAUCUACAUUUCUCCAGAGACUACAAUUCUCCAGAGAUUCUUCUCGGAAGGAAGGAGGCAUUAUUGAAUGAUUUCUUUGACCGAUUACAUUCGAAUCUAUCUAUGUCGAACCAAAAACGAACCUGUUGUGCCUGAUCAAUAAUGCGUCUAAACAUGAUGCACCAGGAGAUCUUCAGAAGAGAUAUUGGGAGGACGGGCCUUCGAUAGUCGACACAGGUGAUCAGCUAAUUUAAUAUAAAAUGUCCUAAUUGCUGGUCCAGCGGAAGGACUCUACCGGGCAUCAGCCGGAUGUGAGUGGAUGUGUGCUAUCGCACCGUACGCAAACUUCUCCUACUGGAAGACGUCCGAAUAUGCUGUGUACUUAUUCAGAUGAGGAACUGACAAUUCUAACACGAAAUUCAAAUAUCGUACUCCAUUGAUUAUCGCCACGAGUCCUGCCGCCAAAAGAUACCGGAUAUUCAAUCCGCCCGAUUUCAUCUUCGAAAAUCGGGAAUAAACCGAGAAGAUUUCUGGAUGCCUACGACUUUUAAUUCACCGUCUCGAAUGAAUCUCCCCCUCCUUUUUCUUUCACUUUCUCGACAACUGCGAUCGGAUUUUCUUCAAGCACUUCUCACUGAACCUACUUCUGAGGGUGAAAAUGGCUAAAGAUGAAAAAGAAAAAUGGAAAAUUCAAUAUUCCCGUUAAUCGUACGAUCUGCGUAUGGGACGUGUGAACCGACCAGUUCUCUACAAUAUCGCGUUUCUCAGCAACAGAAUUGACCGAGAUUUGAUUGGUCCGCGGAAGAGAUUCCAGCAGACUUGGCUGGCCGACUGGUUUCCAGAUCAGGUCCCCGACGACUAUCCCAGGACGAGCCGAAUAGCACCCCCACCUCAUGGAAAUAUCAUUCCCACUGUCGAGCCAUGGCAUUGUGUCGCCCGCGCUAAUUCGCGUUUUUUCUUUUCGCGUCUUCCGUCUUAAUAUUUCGACAAUGUGGGAGGCUUCAUCGGCAUAUCUAAUUUUUUCCUUGCCUGGACGGCAGCUGAUCUAGUAAAUUAAACGAUGACGGACGACGACUGCACCGACAUGAAUAAUUAGAGCAAUCUAUGUGAUUAUUUACAACCCUGGAUGCGCGAUAAACGGCCGCGAAGAUGCGUGCACGGUCAUGCGCGCUCUAGAUUUCAUCAAUGUUAAUGUCGGUCUGCAAUAGGUGGUAGGUUUUGAGCCUUAAGAAAUUGACUAAUCACAGUUAAUUUGUUCACAUUCGGCUGUGACCGGUCAAUUUCUUGAAGCUUAAGGUUCAAAAUACAUAUUGUGGACCGACACUUACUAUGUCAUGAAUUUCCACGAACGAUACGAAUGAUUCCUCGCGCCGCGUAUCCAGUUGUUUUGAAUAUGUUAGAAGAAAAGUCACUGCCAGCAGAGGUGGCAGCGAACUCGCGCUUCGCUCCUUCUUUCCCGUCGUUAUAUCUUGUUCCCGGUGUCACGGUGAAACAAGAGACGUUUAACGCCGUCCGUCAUCGUGUUAGCCGUGAUAUCGCGAUGGAGAUUGAGGAUCGUAACCUCGAAUUUAAAUUUACGUCAUCACACCGAAUCGAUAAUCGUGACGAAAUACUAGUAAAUUUCAAUGUCGACUGUGGAUUUUACUUAGAUUCACUUGAAACUACGCUUUCAAUUUGGAGUUGGCGGAGCUGGAGCGCGAUCGAUCCGUGCCGUCGCCGCGAAUGACGCAGGACUCAUUACAGGCGAGAAAGACGGUUUGUCCCGAUUGUAAAAAAGGUAAUGUAAACGUUAAUUUCCAUACUAAUCGAGCGGCGCGUAAUAUUUCAGCACAUCGAGAAAAAUCAACACAUUUCCGUCUUUUCGAUACAUUUGGUCUGUUCUUUCCCUAUAAGAACAUCCGCGGGAUCCACACGCGAGAUCGACGCAAAAUCUAUGUGGAAUCGGUUUCCUUACACGAAUUUGAUGGAGACUCGACGGGAAUUCGAGAUAGAUGUCCCCUUGUAGGAUUAACUGCACUGGAUAUUAAUCUAAAUGAAAUAUAAAAUAUCUGGCUAUGGAAAGGUUGUCUGGAGCAAAAACAAUUCAAGUUUGAAUGUUACUAGCAAAAAGCUUGUUGGGGUCACCGGUAGCCAGCGCUGCCUUAUCACAUUACCAGAUCUCUAAUAAGAUAAGACCUGCCUUGGAGGCUUCCCGUUGACGCAAUCGGACAAAACUUUCGAGCAUCAAUCGAGCAGCAACGCACAACGAAUCAAUCUAAAUCUCCAAUAGAAAAUUACGAUAACAUUCGAGAAGACCCCGACAAGAACUCAAGAAGAGCCAAAACAAAACUUGCGCAGAUUUAUAAAUUCAAAUAAAAAUGAAUCCAAUGAUACAUCAUUCGGAGGAGUGCAUUUCACAUGAACGAUUUGUUUUAGAAGUACUAUGUGUUGUGAUUGCACAUAUUAAUUGUGUCAUAUUUUUUUCCAAGCGUAUAAAUAUUAAUGAAUUUCAUCGUUAUUUACCUAUACGAGUACAAUGUGCGAUGUUAUUGACAAUAUUAUUAUUUAUCUUUUGGAUUCCACGAAUCGUAAACAUCAUUUUUAAAAUUGUAUUUCCACUAAUAGCCCAAAUAGGACUAUAAUAGGCCAUAUUUUAGUAUAUUUUAUAUUAUAUAUAUUUGUAAUGUUUUUAAAA
Molecule: long non-coding RNA, 4448 nt
Organism: Dinoponera quadriceps
Lineage: Eukaryota; Metazoa; Arthropoda; Insecta; Hymenoptera; Formicidae
Exons: 10
Source: RefSeq, a predicted model, not a curated record